GCCGGGAUCGCAUAACCUGGUAUUGCACAAACUUUUUGAGCUUGACCCUCUGGGUGUCUGGGUUCAAAUCCCAGUCCCGGCG
RNAcentral lists this transfer RNA (82 nucleotides) under Candidatus Pacearchaeota archaeon. RNAcentral's name for it is "tRNA-Lys". It matches the Rfam family "tRNA". Rfam says of the family: Transfer RNA (tRNA) molecules are approximately 80 nucleotides in length. Their secondary structure includes four short double-helical elements and three loops (D, anti-codon, and T loops). The record is from RNAcentral. Lineage: Archaea; Nanobdellati.